GGUCAUGAGUAUCAGCGCACAGCCCCGGCUUGCUGAUCGGCAACCCUCCAACCGCGGUGGGGUGCUCCGGGUGAUGACCGGGUUGUGGGAUCGCGUUCACGCAUCCCCGGCAAGCGCGGGUC
RNAcentral lists this non-coding RNA (122 nucleotides) under Gordonia sputi. RNAcentral describes it as "Gordonia sp. SAM-IV sequence". It matches the Rfam family "SAM (S-adenosyl methionine) riboswitch aptamer". From Rfam's summary of the family: SAM-IV is a mRNA element that regulates gene expression via direct sensing of S-adenosylmethionine (SAM or AdoMet). SAM-IV riboswitches share conserved nucleotide positions with the previously described SAM-I riboswitches sequence analysis and molecular recognition experiments suggest that SAM-I and SAM-IV riboswitches share similar ligand binding sites, but have different scaffolds. Lineage: Bacteria; Bacillati; Actinomycetota; Actinomycetes; Mycobacteriales; Gordoniaceae. The record is from RNAcentral.